This 310-nucleotide long non-coding RNA is filed under the name Jatropha curcas. RNAcentral describes it as "long non-coding RNA (JCUR_LNC002345)". Lineage: Eukaryota; Viridiplantae; Streptophyta; Magnoliopsida; Malpighiales; Euphorbiaceae. The record is from RNAcentral.
AGAGAUGUGAGUUUAUUAAUGAAUAAUAAUUAUUGCACAACACAUGCAUUCACACAAUUGUAUAAAUAUAUCAACCUAGUCAUCCGACUAGGUAUAUGCUCACACAGCCAGUCACACAAAUGGCAUAUCACCAGCACUCACAAUUAUUAACAUCUUCAUAUAAUCACAUCACGUGGAAAUUAGUCAGUGGAGUCACCGACCCCCCGAUGAGCCGUCCUCCCACAUGGCUCAUCCUCUCACAUGUGCACCAGGGAGCCGAUCCCCCAUACUGGCCGACCGGUCUAAUCCUCACUUGACCAGCCCUCUCAUU